RNAcentral lists this ribosomal RNA (445 nucleotides) under uncultured bacterium. Its description in RNAcentral is "partial 16S ribosomal RNA". It matches the Rfam family "Bacterial small subunit ribosomal RNA", at positions 354 to 796 of the family's 1533-position model. The record is from RNAcentral.
GUGAGGAAUAUUGGUCAAUGGGCGGGAGCCUGAACCAGCCAAGUCGCGUGAAGGAAGAAGGAUCUAUGGUUCGUAAACUUCUUUUGCAGGGGAAUAAAGUGCAGGACGUGUCCUGUUUUGUAUGUACCCUGAGAAUAAGGAUCGGCUAACUCCGUGCCAGCAGCCGCGGUAAUACGGAGGAUCCGAGCGUUAUCCGGAUUUAUUGGGUUUAAAGGGUGCGUAGGUGGUUUGAUAAGUCAGCGGUGAAAGUUUGCAGCUUAACUGUAAAAAUGCCGUUGAAACUGUCGGACUUGAGUGUAAAUGAGGUAGGCGGAAUGCGUGGUGUAGCGGUGAAAUGCAUAGAUAUCACGCAGAACUCCGAUUGCGAAGGCAGCUUACUAAGCUACAACUGACACUGAAGCACGAAAGCGAGGGGAUCAAACAGGAUUAGAAACCCUGGUAGUCC